Molecule: ribosomal RNA, 293 nt
Filed under: Blastocystis hominis
Lineage: Eukaryota; Bigyra; Opalinata; Blastocystidae
Description: partial 18S ribosomal RNA
Rfam family: Eukaryotic small subunit ribosomal RNA
Source: RNAcentral
GAUUAAGCCAUGCAUGUGUAAGUAUAAAUAAUUCUACUUUGAAACUGCGAAUGGCUCAUUAUAUCAGUUAUAGUUUAUUAGAAAAAUGUACUACUUGGAUAACCGUAGUAAUUCUAGGGCUAAUACAUGAGUAAAUCCUCGACUUUGAAGAGGUGUGUUUAUUAGUAUGAAAACCAUAUGCUUCGGCAUGAUAGUGAGUAAUAAUAACCUUUCAUAUCGUAUGUUGAAAUAACGAUAGUUCUUUCAAGUUUCUGCCCUAUCAGCUUUCGAUGGUAGUGUAUUGGACUACCAUG